UUGUCCGUAGUGAAGAGUGUAUCACACUCGUAUUGGAUGCCGGAGGUCGCGGGUUCAAUUCCCGCCAGAAUAU
RNAcentral lists this transfer RNA (73 nucleotides) under Diaphorina citri (Asian citrus psyllid). It matches the Rfam family "tRNA". From Rfam's summary of the family: Transfer RNA (tRNA) molecules are approximately 80 nucleotides in length. The record is from Rfam by way of RNAcentral. Lineage: Eukaryota; Metazoa; Arthropoda; Insecta; Hemiptera; Psyllidae.